This 253-nucleotide ribosomal RNA is filed under the name uncultured bacterium. RNAcentral describes it as "partial 16S ribosomal RNA". It matches the Rfam family "Bacterial small subunit ribosomal RNA", at positions 524 to 776 of the family's 1533-position model. The record is from RNAcentral.
GACAGAGGUGCCAAGCGUUAGGCGGAAUCACUGGGCUUAAAGCGUGUGUAGGCGGAUCGUUAAGUACCUUGUGAAAUCCCCCGGCUCAACCGGGGAACGGCUGGGUAUACUGUCGGUCUUGAGCCACCUAGGGGCAGUCGGAACAAGUGGUGGAGCGGUGAAAUGCGUAGAUAUCACUUGGAACGCCAAUGGUGAAAACAGACUGCUGGGGGUGUGCUGACGCUGAGACACGAAAGCCAGGGGAGCAAACGGG